This 608-nucleotide ribosomal RNA is filed under the name Bacillus sp. EECC-327. Its description in RNAcentral is "bacterial SSU rRNA". It matches the Rfam family "Bacterial small subunit ribosomal RNA", at positions 98 to 692 of the family's 1533-position model. Lineage: Bacteria; Bacillati; Bacillota; Bacilli; Caryophanales; Bacillaceae. The record is from RNAcentral.
GCGGACGGGUGAGUAACACGUGGGCAACCUGCCUGUAAGACUGGGAUAACUUCGGGAAACCGAAGCUAAUACCGGAUAGGAUCUUCUCCUUCAUGGGAGAUGAUUGAAAGAUGGUUUCGGCUAUCACUUACAGAUGGGCCCGCGGUGCAUUAGCUAGUUGGUGAGGUAACGGCUCACCAAGGCAACGAUGCAUAGCCGACCUGAGAGGGUGAUCGGCCACACUGGGACUGAGACACGGCCCAGACUCCUACGGGAGGCAGCAGUAGGGAAUCUUCCGCAAUGGACGAAAGUCUGACGGAGCAACGCCGCGUGAGUGAUGAAGGCUUUCGGGUCGUAAAACUCUGUUGUUAGGGAAGAACAAGUACAAGAGUAACUGCUUGUACCUUGACGGUACCUAACCAGAAAGCCACGGCUAACUACGUGCCAGCAGCCGCGGUAAUACGUAGGUGGCAAGCGUUAUCCGGAAUUAUUGGGCGUAAAGCGCGCGCAGGCGGUUUCUUAAGUCUGAUGUGAAAGCCCACGGCUCAACCGUGGAGGGUCAUUGGAAACUGGGGAACUUGAGUGCAGAAGAGAAAAGCGGAAUUCCACGUGUAGCGGUGAAAUGCGUA